Molecule: ribosomal RNA, 253 nt
Filed under: uncultured bacterium
Lineage: Bacteria
Description: partial 16S ribosomal RNA
Rfam family: Bacterial small subunit ribosomal RNA
Source: RNAcentral
UACGUAGGGUGCAAGCGUUGUCCGGAAUUAUUGGGCGUAAAGAGCUCGUAGGCGGUUCGUCGCGUCGGCUGUGAAAACCCGAGGCUCAACCUCGGGACUGCAGUCGAUACGGGCGGACUGGAGUUCGGCAGGGGAGACUGGAAUUCCUGGUGUAGCGGUGAAAUGCGCAGAUAUCAGGAGGAACACCGGUGGCGAAGGCGGGUCUCUGGGCCGUAACUGACGCUGAGGAGCGAAAGCGUGGGGAGCGAACAGG